This 46-nucleotide non-coding RNA is filed under the name Trichobilharzia regenti. Lineage: Eukaryota; Metazoa; Platyhelminthes; Trematoda; Strigeidida; Schistosomatidae. The record is from RNAcentral.
CUACUACUGAUGAGUCUCAGGCUAGGACGAAACAGCUGUUCAGUAC